Ahaetulla prasina is the source of this 661-nucleotide long non-coding RNA. RefSeq lists it as uncharacterized. The transcript is spliced from 3 exons. NCBI's taxonomy places the organism in Eukaryota, Metazoa, Chordata, Lepidosauria, Squamata, Colubridae. The record is from RefSeq and is a predicted model, not a curated record.
UGUAAGGAAGGAACAGGAAGGAAGCACAGAAAGGGAUUGAGGGCGAUGACAAAAAUAUUGCCCUGAUGGCUCCAGAGAGGAAAAUGAUACCAGUGAAGGUGCGGAGAGACUGAAACCUGGGAAAUAUUUAUUGGACCAGGACAAAAAUAACCUGGUCCAGAGGAGGCCAAGGCCCUCGAGGGCCAACAUCCGCCCUCUCUGCAUUCACAAGGGACCUAAUUCCUCCUCCACCGAACAGGUCUGAAGCCCAAGGUUUUCAAUGGUGUGCCUGAAGGAGGAAACGGAGGAUAAUCUGGAGAUCAAGGACAAUCAACAGCUAUGAGAAAUUUGGGGUUGAGGAGGAAGUGGCAGCUCAAAGUGUGUGUUGUGUGGCCCAUCAUCGGCCAGCGGAACUAGCAGCAGAUUCGGACAGUGAGGAAGUUGGGGAGGACCAUGGGCCAGUCUUCGUCCCUGAGCAGAUCAAGAAGCAACGGUCGGAAACUAAUCAAGGAAACAGCCACCAGCCUGCUGGUCCUCUGGUGGUGGGUUUGAAGGAGGAAGACCAUCUAGUUCUUUCUUCAGGCACCGAAACGUCUUGAGAAAGGAGGUUGUUUUUCUAGCUGUUGGUAAAAAACCAGCCAUGCACCCUCAUUAAUAAACACCACCGAGAGGGUGAAACUUA